GUCUAUGGCCAUAGCACCCUGAACACACCCGAUCUCGUAUGGUCUCAGAAGCUAAGCAGGGUUGGGCCUGAUUAAUACUCAGAUGGCAGAAGACCAGAGCAGGAGCUAUGGUCA
This is a ribosomal RNA of Erinaceus europaeus (western European hedgehog), 114 nucleotides long. Lineage: Eukaryota; Metazoa; Chordata; Mammalia; Eulipotyphla; Erinaceidae. The record is from Ensembl.